GCAAUCGAGGAACACUCACCGCAGUCUGGCUUGCUGCCACGUGUUCUAGUUCCAGCGAAUUCCACACCGUGAGGAUCCACGCACCAGCAGAGUCCUAGACCACGGUGACAUUGGGUGCUUCGGUAAUACCCUCGGGAAUCGCAAGCAGGUGCAACGUCGGGGGAUGAUCGCUUGCGUACAGCGGCGCAGGGACGUUCAGCCUUUGAGAAACAUCCGCACCAUUCGGGACCAUUCACGAAAAUGUCUCUGAAAAUUGUCGAACGUGAUAGAUAUUUGCUAAUAUCCUUCAUCUCGUGGUAGUUGGAUCUCCAAUGCCUUUGAUCUAUUACAUUUGGUCCUCGUCAUAGAUAUGAAAGUUACAUGUAUGCCGUAUAUGUAUUAUAUAUCUCAUUAAUAGUCUUACACCAAGAAGCUACUAUGAAUUAAUUAUUUAAGACGAUCCAUAGACUGGGUAACAGAGUUCACCGUCCCGGAAUGGCGAGGAAACCUUUCAUGGAGACUACAUAACACCCCUUAACAUUUCAACUUAAUCUCUAUAUAUACUCUGGAACAGAGAACGGAAAUUCCGCUUCUUGAGAGUAACAAACGCAACGUGGCAUCGUUUCUUAUUUCCCGGUUUGCAUGCGAGUAAAAAGCAAUCGACUCGGAAUGAAAGUUUCACACACGGUCCAUGUGUCUGCCUCUUAACGACCAACCACUCCGCUCCGUAGGCACGUACGCUCGAGACCUAUUACGCUCGAGCGUCAAGCCCCUCGAAGGUCACGUAUCCGUGGAGUUUAAUGAUUUACAAGCAACGGACGACGGGAUUACGUAAAAAG
This is a long non-coding RNA of Bombus terrestris (buff-tailed bumblebee), 818 nucleotides long. RefSeq lists it as uncharacterized. NCBI's taxonomy places the organism in Eukaryota, Metazoa, Arthropoda, Insecta, Hymenoptera, Apidae. The transcript has 3 exons. The record is from RefSeq and is a predicted model, not a curated record.